Molecule: ribosomal RNA, 448 nt
Filed under: uncultured bacterium
Lineage: Bacteria
Description: bacterial SSU rRNA
Rfam family: Bacterial small subunit ribosomal RNA
Source: RNAcentral
UUACCAGACUCCUACGGGAGGCAGCAGUGGGGAAUAUUGCACAAUGGGGGGAACCCUGAUGCAGCGACGCCGCGUGGGUGAAGGAGCACCUCGGUGCGUAAAGCCCUAUCGGCAGGGAAGAAACAGACGGUACCUGACUAAGAAGCCCCGGCUAACUACGUGCCAGCAGCCGCGGUAAUACGUAGGGGGCAAGCGUUAUCCGGAUUCACUGGGUGUAAAGGGAGCGUAGACGGCGACGCAAGUCUGGAGUGAAAGCCCGGGGCCCAACCCCGGGACUGCUCUGGAAACUGCGUCGCUGGAGUACGGGAGGGGCAGGCGGAAUUCCUGGUGUAGCGGUGAAAUGCGUAGAUAUCAGGAGGAACACCGGUGGCGAAGGCGGCCUGCUGGACUGCAACUGACGUUGAGGCCCGAAAGCGUGGGGAGCGAACAGGAUUAGAUACCCGCGUAC